RNAcentral lists this ribosomal RNA (265 nucleotides) under uncultured bacterium. Its description in RNAcentral is "partial 16S ribosomal RNA". It matches the Rfam family "Bacterial small subunit ribosomal RNA", at positions 793 to 1055 of the family's 1533-position model. The record is from RNAcentral.
GUCCACGCCCUAAACGAUGUCGACUGGUUGUUGGGGGUUUGACACUCUCAGUAACGAAGCUAACGCGUGAAGUCGACCGCCUGGGGAGUACGGCCGCAAGGUUAAAACUCAAAGGAAUUGACGGGGACCCGCACAAGCGGUGGAUUAUGUGGAUUAAUUCGAUGCAACGCGAAAAACCUUACCUACCCUUGACAUGUCCUGGACCCUGCAGAGAUGCGGGGGUGCCCGAAAGGGAACGGGAACACAGGUGCUGCAUGGCUGUCGU